RNAcentral lists this ribosomal RNA (470 nucleotides) under Amanita brunnescens. RNAcentral describes it as "eukaryotic LSU rRNA". The stretch from base 75 to 228 matches the Rfam family "5.8S ribosomal RNA". The record is from RNAcentral. Lineage: Eukaryota; Fungi; Basidiomycota; Agaricomycetes; Agaricales; Amanitaceae.
UUUUUAUAUACACACGGUUGUAUGUCUAUAGAAUGAGAUGUAGGCUUAUUUAAAGCCAUUAAAUGAUAAAGUACAACUUUCAACAACGGAUCUCUUGGCUCUCGCAUCGAUGAAGAACGCAGCGAAAUGCGAUAAGUAAUGUGAAUUGCAGAAUUCAGUGAAUCAUCGAAUCUUUGAACGCAUCUUGCGCUCCUUGGUAUUCCGAGGAGCAUGCCUGUUUGAGUGUCAUUAAAGUAUCUCAAAAGCUCUUAUGUGUUAUGCAUAUGGAACUUUUGGACAAUUGGGAGUUGCCGGUCACUGAUACAAGUGGUGGGCUCUUCUGAAAAGCAUUAGUUGAGGAGCUUUGCACUCUAUUGGUGUGAUAGACUAUCUAUGCCAGGAGAUGCAUUAUUGCCUCUGCUCUCUAACAGUCCUUAUUGGACAAGAUGACGAACUUGACCUCAAAUCAGGUAGGACUACCCGCUGAACUU